Molecule: ribosomal RNA, 150 nt
Filed under: uncultured Paraglomus
Lineage: Eukaryota; Fungi; Glomeromycota; Glomeromycetes; Paraglomerales; Paraglomeraceae
Description: 5.8S ribosomal RNA
Rfam family: 5.8S ribosomal RNA
About the family: 5.8S ribosomal RNA (5.8S rRNA) is a component of the large subunit of the eukaryotic ribosome. It is transcribed by RNA polymerase I as part of the 45S precursor that also contains 18S and 28S rRNA. Functionally, it is thought that 5.8S rRNA may be involved in ribosome translocation.
Source: RNAcentral
AAACUUUCAACAACGGAUCUCUUGGCUCUCGCAUCGAUGAAGAACGCAGCGAAAUGCGAUAAGUAGUGUGAAUUGCAGAACUUUGUGAACCAUCGAAUCUUUGAACGCAAAUUGCGCCCUUUUCGGAAGGCAUGUCUGUUUGAGGGCACC